UUCAGAUUGUUGAAGAUUAAUAAAGAUUCUGAAACAAAAUGAAAUUUUCACAGUUCAGAUAUUUCCUAUUGUUACACAUUAGUGUAAUUAUGUUUUUCUAUGUACAGGUAUCUGAGGAGCAUGAACAGUCCACUGUAGAACUGGAGUUUAACCCAAUAGAUCCAAGAGACUCCCAGGAACAACCCGCCAAUGAAGAGAAUUUGAUGAUUCUUUCCUCUGGUGACUUUGAUAGGGCAGUGAAGAGAGAAAACCUGAUAUUUAUCAUGUUCUGGAG
Molecule: long non-coding RNA, 274 nt
Organism: Eurytemora carolleeae
Lineage: Eukaryota; Metazoa; Arthropoda; Copepoda; Calanoida; Temoridae
Exons: 3
Source: RefSeq, a predicted model, not a curated record